AGAUGGGUAACUUUCGUUGGUAGAAUACCCGGCUCUUACCGGGAGGACGCAGGUUCGAUCCCUGCACCCAUCUA
Molecule: transfer RNA, 74 nt
Filed under: Chitinophaga agrisoli
Lineage: Bacteria; Pseudomonadati; Bacteroidota; Chitinophagia; Chitinophagales; Chitinophagaceae
Description: Chitinophaga sp. BN140078 tRNA-OTHER
Rfam family: tRNA
About the family: Transfer RNA (tRNA) molecules are approximately 80 nucleotides in length.
Source: RNAcentral